This 239-nucleotide ribosomal RNA is filed under the name uncultured prokaryote. Its description in RNAcentral is "partial 16S ribosomal RNA". It matches the Rfam family "Bacterial small subunit ribosomal RNA", at positions 524 to 762 of the family's 1533-position model. The record is from RNAcentral.
GACGUAGGGUGCGAGCGUUGUCCGGAUUUAUUGGGCGUAAAGAGCUCGUAGGCGGCUCGUCGCGUCGACCGUGAAAACCCGCAGCUUAACUGCGGGCUUGCGGUUGAUACGGGGGGGCUAGAGUUCGGUAGGGGAGUCUGGAAUUCCUGGUGUAGCGGUGAAAUGCGUAGAUAUCGGGAGGAACACCUGUGGCGAAAGCGGCGCACUGGACCACAACUGACGCUGAGGCGCGAAAGCUA